RNAcentral lists this unclassified non-coding RNA (693 nucleotides) under Hevea brasiliensis (rubber tree). The record is from RNAcentral. Lineage: Eukaryota; Viridiplantae; Streptophyta; Magnoliopsida; Malpighiales; Euphorbiaceae.
AAUAAUAGAAUUCCUAAUUACUAGCCAUACUAAACUUCCUAAUUUUACAUAAAAUAUAAUUCCUAAAUUGUACUAGGAUCUUCAUCUUCCCAUUUUGCAUUAUAAUUAGAAAUAACAUCACAUUCCAUCAUUGGGCCAUUUCAAAUCAACAAUUAUGUGAUACAGACUCCGACACUUGUCAACUAGAAGGAGGCAUUGUACACCACAAUAUGCUUAUGCAUAGCAUCAUAACUUCCAAGUCCAAGUCCAGGUAAUUCUACUAUUGAUUCAAUUGGAAAGCCACAAUAAUAGCUUAAUUGAACAUUUAAUAUGUGGUUCUAAAUAAUUCUAGAAGUUCAAACAGUUGGCAAUAGCUAGCAUUCAUGAGAAGCAAGCCCAAGUAAGUUCAGGUCUAACCUGCUAAGUGUAGUCAAAAGCGCAAAAAGCGCAAUGACAAAUAGAAUAGAACUUUUACAUAUGCAAAGCGAAGCGCAUUUAAUGAAGCGAUGGCUUUUUGCGAUUAAAGCGCAAAGUGCAAGAAAAAGAAAAAAGGUGCAAAGCGAAGGAGCCUCAACUUCAAGGUCAAAGUAUGAAGAUUUUGAGAUUUAGAUGAAGAUAUUAAUGAAAAUGGAUUUUAGUUUGGAGAUGAGAAUGAAAGUGUUGAAGACUUUUAUGGCAAAUCUAGUGAGUAUCUCUAGGUUAUGACUAUGAAUU